This 492-nucleotide ribosomal RNA is filed under the name uncultured bacterium. RNAcentral's name for it is "partial 16S ribosomal RNA". It matches the Rfam family "Bacterial small subunit ribosomal RNA", at positions 29 to 507 of the family's 1533-position model. The record is from RNAcentral.
AGUGAACGCUGGCGGUAGGCCUAACACAUGCAAGUCGAACGGCAGCACAGUAAGAGCUUGCUCUUACGGGUGGCGAGUGGCGGACGGGUGAGGAAUACAUCGGAAUCUACUUUUUCGUGGGGGAUAACGUAGGGAAACUUACGCUAAUACCGCAUACGACCUACGGGUGAAAGCAGGGGAUCUUCGGACCUUGCGCGAUUGAAUGAGCCGAUGUCGGAUUAGCUAGUUGGCGGGGUAAAGGCCCACCAAGGCGACGAUCCGUAGCUGGUCUGAGAGGAUGAUCGGCCACACGGGAACUGAGACACGGUCCAGACGCCUACGGGAGGCAGCAGUGGGGAAUAUUGGACAAUGGGCGCGAGCCUGAUCCAGCCAUACCGCGUGGGUGAAGAAGGCCUUCGGGUUGUAAAGCCCUUUUGUUGGGAAAGAAAAGCAGCAGGUUAAUACCCCGCUGUUCUGACGGUACCCAAAGAAUAAGCACCGGCUAACUUCGUG